CUGCAAUUCAAUUGCACCAUUCAAGAUAAACCAAUGUCAAAGAAUACACAUAAAAACAUGUAUGCAUGCGCAUGCGCAUGCAUAUGCAUAUGAAAAUAAAAAUAAAAAUAAAAAUCAAUAGAGCACAACAAGUACAUCACAAAAAGAACUCAAAACUUAUCGCAAGACAACUUUUUUUAGGCAAUUAUAGCAACACAACUUAAUGAUCAAUGAUCUUGCAUUUUAACUUUUCCUUUUGAUUCCCAGAAAAUCAAGGAAAUGGAGAUUUUUAUCCUUUUUCCCCCUUCAUUGCUAACAAGAAACCAGAAGAAAGUAGGAAAUGGAAUUUGAAAUCAGAGUUCCAUUUCAAUAGCUUAGCAGAAUGCAUUGUGCUGCUACCUUGGACAAGUUGGUUUGCUUUUUUAUCAUGAAAAUUAUAUACAAAAUGGCAAAGGAAAAAAAAGGGUUCUUCGCGAAAAAUUGUCAUAAAGAAACAAAGUAGCAGGGACAAUGCCCUAUUGGUUUCCAAUGAUCAUAAUGCAUGAUCACGUUAAGCUUUUGAGAGUAAAACAGACAAGCAUGAGCCAAGGGGGAAAAGGAGAAUAUUUCAUUCAUCCAUGAUGAACUAUUUUUUUCAUAAACAACUAGUUACUGCUGGUGCAAAAACAUCCUGCUGACGUCCAUAGGGGCGUACAUCUGCUACAAUUUAGGUACAGAGAUACAGCAUAUAAAUAAUGUUAGAAAGUCAAAUAAGACAAGUGAAGAAAGAAAAUCAUGGAAGUUGCAAGCACCUGAUA
This 776-nucleotide unclassified non-coding RNA is filed under the name Hevea brasiliensis (rubber tree). The record is from RNAcentral. Lineage: Eukaryota; Viridiplantae; Streptophyta; Magnoliopsida; Malpighiales; Euphorbiaceae.